UACGAAGGGGGCUAGCGUUGUUCGGAUUUACUGGGCGUAAAGCGCAUGUAGGCGGGUCGUUAAGUUGGGGGUGAAAUCCCGAGGCUAAACCUCGGAACUGCCUUCAAAACUGGCGAGCUGGAGCAAGAUAGAGGCAAGUGGAAUUGCGAGUGUAGAGGUGAAAUUCGUAGAUAUUCGCAGGAACACCAGUGGCGAAGGCGACUUGCUGGAUCUUUGCUGACGCUGAGAUGCGAAAGCGUGGGAAGCAAACAGG
Molecule: ribosomal RNA, 253 nt
Filed under: uncultured bacterium
Lineage: Bacteria
Description: partial 16S ribosomal RNA
Rfam family: Bacterial small subunit ribosomal RNA
Source: RNAcentral